RNAcentral lists this transfer RNA (77 nucleotides) under Chitinophagaceae bacterium. Its description in RNAcentral is "tRNA-Arg". It matches the Rfam family "tRNA". From Rfam's summary of the family: Transfer RNA (tRNA) molecules are approximately 80 nucleotides in length. Their secondary structure includes four short double-helical elements and three loops (D, anti-codon, and T loops). The record is from RNAcentral. Lineage: Bacteria; Pseudomonadati; Bacteroidota; Chitinophagia; Chitinophagales; Chitinophagaceae.
GGUUGUGUAGCUCAACUGGAUAGAGCAUCUGACUACGAAUCAGAAGGUUAGGGGUUCGACUCCCUUCACGACCACGA